This 491-nucleotide ribosomal RNA is filed under the name uncultured bacterium. Its description in RNAcentral is "bacterial SSU rRNA". It matches the Rfam family "Bacterial small subunit ribosomal RNA", at positions 8 to 526 of the family's 1533-position model. The record is from RNAcentral.
AGAGUUUGAUCAUGGCUCAGAACGAACGCUGGCGGCAGGCCUCAAACAUGCAAGUCUAGGGGACGUAGCAAUACGUCACCGGCGGACGGGUGCGUAACACGUGGGAAUGUACUGAGUGGUUCGGAACAACUGCGGGAAACUGCAGCUAAUACCGAAUGAGCCCGAAAGGGGAAAGAUUUAUCGCCAUUCAAUCAGCCCGCGUUCGAUUAGCUAGUUGGUGAGGUAACGGCUCACCAAGGCUCCGAUCGAUAGCUGUUCUGAGAGGAAGAUCAGCCACACUGGGACUGAGACACGGCCCAGACUCCUACGGGAGGCAGCAGUUGGGAAUCUUGCGCAAUGGUCGAAAGACUGACGCAGCGACGCCGCGUGUGGGAGGAAGCCUUUCGGGGUGUAAACCACUGUUGCCCGGGACGAACAGCCUUUUUCGAGAGGCCUGACGGUACCGGGUGAGGAAGCACCGGCUAACUCCGUGCCAGCCGCCGCGGUAAUAC